GACGAACGCUGGCGGCGUGCCUAAUACAUGCAAGUCGAACGAGAGCGACCGGUGCUUGCACUGGUCAAUCUAGUGGCGAACGGGUGAGUAACACGUGGGUAACCUGCCCAUCAGAGGGGGAUAACAUCCGGAAACGGGUGCUAAAACCGCAUAGGUCUUCGAGCCGCAUGGCUUGAAGAGGAAAAGCGGCGCAAGCUUCUGCUGAUGGAUGGACCCGCGGUGCAUUAGCUAGUUGGUAAGGUAACGGCUCACCAAGGACGCGAUGCAUAGCCGACCUGAGAGGGUGAUCGGCCACAUUGGGACUGAGACACGGCCCAAACUCCUACGGGAGGCAGCAGUAGGGAAUCUUCCGCAAUGGACGCAAGUCUGACGGAGCAACGCCGCGUGAGUGAAGAAGGUUUUCGGAUCGUAAAACUCUGUUGUUAGAGAAGAACAAGUGCUAGAGUAACUGUUAGCGCCUUGACGGUAUCUAAUCAGAAAGCCACGGCUAACUACGUG
RNAcentral lists this ribosomal RNA (498 nucleotides) under uncultured bacterium. Its description in RNAcentral is "partial 16S ribosomal RNA". It matches the Rfam family "Bacterial small subunit ribosomal RNA", at positions 28 to 507 of the family's 1533-position model. The record is from RNAcentral.